UACGGAGGGGGCAAGCGUUAUUCGGAAUCAUUGGGCGUAAAGGGCGCGUAGGCGGCUUGGCAAGUCAAAGGUGAAAUCCCUCGGCCUAACCGAGGAACUGCCUUUGAAACUGCUUGGCUUGAGGCCGGGAGAGGGUAGCGGAAUUCCCAGUGUAGCGGUGAAAUGCGUAGAUAUUGGGAGGAACACCAGUGGCGAAGGCGGCUACCUGGACCGGUUCUGACGCUGAGGCGCGAAAGCGUGGGGAGCAAACGGG
RNAcentral lists this ribosomal RNA (253 nucleotides) under uncultured bacterium. RNAcentral's name for it is "partial 16S ribosomal RNA". It matches the Rfam family "Bacterial small subunit ribosomal RNA", at positions 524 to 776 of the family's 1533-position model. The record is from RNAcentral.